RNAcentral lists this small RNA (133 nucleotides) under Neobacillus massiliamazoniensis. Its description in RNAcentral is "Bacillus sp. LF1 L20_leader". It matches the Rfam family "Ribosomal protein L20 leader". From Rfam's summary of the family: This family is a putative r-protein leader autoregulatory structure found in B. subtilis and other low-GC Gram-positive bacteria. Lineage: Bacteria; Bacillati; Bacillota; Bacilli; Caryophanales; Bacillaceae. The record is from RNAcentral.
UGGGAAAAGAAGAAGCACCCGCUUCUCACCUGAUUGACGCUGUUUCGAGCAGUUGACAGGUAUUACAUGAACUUUUAAUUUAUUAAUUAUGUUCGUAAAGUGUGGGUGAAUUCAUCUGCACUUUUUUUGUAUG